CACUUCGAGCCGGUGAAACCUCAAGUAUUAGCAGGGACAUGCUGUGGUGCCCUAGGUCUACCGCCCACAAUUUGCCUUCAUCUCCUUCACUGGUGACAACCGAAAAUAAUUCUCUUCCCUUUUCUAGAUCUUUGUUGUACAGAUCUGAGGCGUUUUAGGUCAGAGGAAGCAACACCAGGUUGCUCCGGCCACUAUUUUCUGAUAGCAAGUACAUCUGGCAGUGACUCAACAAUCGGGCAUUCAGGUUUGGGUGAGUAUUUGGAUUGAGUCCUUGGGUUGAAUACUUUGAUGCGGAUGUGAUGAUUUUCGAUUUAGGGCUUUUGGAAUUUGCUGUGUCAAUACUGCUUCAGCUGAGGACAUCAAGGAAGAGGUUGCUAAGGGCUUUGAUUUGAGACGAGCGUCUCGACGUAGGGUCUAUUUCGAAGAUGAUCUCCACUUUUUGAGGUCGAGGCCAUCACGAGGUUCCAGUUGCUAGUCCCCUGGUCACGAGAGUUUA
This is a long non-coding RNA of Zingiber officinale, 496 nucleotides long. RefSeq lists it as uncharacterized. Lineage: Eukaryota; Viridiplantae; Streptophyta; Magnoliopsida; Zingiberales; Zingiberaceae. The record is from RefSeq and is a predicted model, not a curated record. The transcript has 3 exons.